GAUGAACGCUGGCGGCGUGCCUAAUACAUGCAAGUCGAGCGAACGGACGAGAAGCUUGCUUCUCUGAUGUUAGCGGCGGACGGGUGAGUAACACGUGGAUAACCUACCUAUAAGACUGGGAUAACUUCGGGAAACCGGAGCUAAUACCGGAUGAUAUUUUGAACCGCAUGGUUCAAAAGUGAAAGACGGUCUUGCUGUCACUUAUAGAUGGAUCCGCGCUGCAUUAGCUAGUUGGUAAGGUAACGGCUUACCAAGGCAACGAUGCAUAGCCGACCUGAGAGGGUGAUCGGCCACACUGGAACUGAGACACGGUCCAGACUCCUACGGGAGGCGGCAGUAGGGAAUCUUCCGCAAGGGCGAAAGCCUGACGGAGCAACGCCGCGUGAGUGAUGAAGGUCUUCGGAUCGUAAAACUCUGUUAUUAGGGAAGAACAUAUGUGUAAGUAACUGUGCACAUCUUGACGGUACCUAAUCAGAAAGCCACGGCUAACUACGUG
Molecule: ribosomal RNA, 496 nt
Filed under: uncultured bacterium
Lineage: Bacteria
Description: partial 16S ribosomal RNA
Rfam family: Bacterial small subunit ribosomal RNA
Source: RNAcentral